GACACCUAAGCUCCAUUGGCUCCAUGGCAAGUCAGCUCACUGCUGAGCCCAAGGGAGGACCCUGAAGGUGGUCACAGAACAAAGACAGGCAGAUGGGCAGGGCUGAGCUCCUGCCAGCCAGGCAUGCGAAGGUGUCUGCGAUGGAGACAGCUGUGUAACCUUGGACAAGUCACUUAACCUCCAAGACUCACUUUCCUCCUUCAUCAAGUGCUGUGUAAAGAAUGCAGGAGAGUGAUUUAAGCAAAGCCCCCUAACUGCCUGGCGUCUAGUAAGUACACAGGCAAUGCAUACACAAGGAAGGAAAUGGCAGGCUGUUCAUAUGCAGCAAGAUCCACACUUGGCCAAACCUGGGGUGGCAGAGAUGGACAUGGAAUCGAGGGCAGAAGAUCUGGGUUUGAGUCCAGCAGUGCUUUAGGCUGCAUCUUGGGGCUUCUCUGAGGACUCCUGUUUCCACCAAUAUCUACCUGUUGUGGUCCUCACUUUCACAGCCACAUGAAAAUGGACGUUUUGACAAUGGCUCACAGAUUCCUGGAGAUGUCUGGGAGGAAGCAGGAAGAAGCAAGAAGUCAUCAAAACUUGAAAAACC
Molecule: small RNA, 586 nt
Filed under: Pongo abelii (Sumatran orangutan)
Lineage: Eukaryota; Metazoa; Chordata; Mammalia; Primates; Hominidae
Description: processed transcript
Source: RNAcentral